UUGUCCUUAGUUACCAGCACGUUAUGGUGGGCACUCUAAGGAGACUGCCGGUGACAAACCGGAGGAAGGUGGGGAUGACGUCAAGUCAUCAUGGCCCUUACGGCCUGGGCUACACACGUGCUACAAUGGUCGGUACAAAGGGUUGCCAAGCCGCGAGGUGGAGCUAAUCCCAAUAAAACCGAUCGUAGUCCGGAUCGCAGUCUGCAACUCGGCUGCGUGAAGUCGGAAUCGCUAGUAAUCGUGAAUCAGAAUGUCACGGUGAAUACGUUCCCGGGCCUU
This 279-nucleotide ribosomal RNA is filed under the name uncultured Pseudomonas sp. Its description in RNAcentral is "partial 16S ribosomal RNA". It matches the Rfam family "Bacterial small subunit ribosomal RNA", at positions 1105 to 1382 of the family's 1533-position model. Lineage: Bacteria; Pseudomonadati; Pseudomonadota; Gammaproteobacteria; Pseudomonadales; Pseudomonadaceae. The record is from RNAcentral.